This 488-nucleotide ribosomal RNA is filed under the name uncultured bacterium. RNAcentral's name for it is "bacterial SSU rRNA". It matches the Rfam family "Bacterial small subunit ribosomal RNA", at positions 29 to 507 of the family's 1533-position model. The record is from RNAcentral.
AACGAACGCUGGCGGCAGGCCUAACACAUGCAAGUCGAACGGUAACGCGGAGAGCUUGCUCUCUGGCGACGAGUGGCGGACGGGUGAGUAAUACUUAGGAAUCUGCCCAUUAGUGGGGGACAACUCGAGGAAACUCGAGCUAAUACCGCAUACGCCCUACGGGGGAAAGCGGGGGAUCUUCGGACCUCGCGCUAAUGGAUGAGCCUAAGUCGGAUUAGCUUGUUGGUGAGGUAAAGGCUCACCAAGGCGACGAUCCGUAGCUGGUCUGAGAGGACGAUCAGCCACACUGGGACUGAGACACGGCCCAGACUCCUACGGGAGGCAGCAGUGGGGAAUAUUGGACAAUGGGCGCAAGCCUGAUCCAGCAAUGCCGCGUGUGUGAAGAAGGCCUGCGGGUUGUAAAGCACUUUCAGUAGAGAAGAAAAGCCUAGGGUUAAUACCCCUGAGUCUUGACGUUACCUACAGAAGAAGCACCGGCUAACUCCGUG